GUUUGACUAUGAUUGGAACAGAAACACACACACACACUGACUGAACUGGUGGUUACGAUCAGAGACACCUUACACGUACGUGGUGGAUUGAGACGAGAGCAGAGAGGAUUAUAGAUCUAGACUAGAUCUGAUUACAAUUUCAAUUUCUCAGAGGUCUUAGGAGAGAGGAGGGGACCACUGCCUCUAAAAUGAAUCUCACUGGGGAACAUGCAUCCCCAAUGUUGAGAGCCUAAUCCAGCAGGAGAGACCAGACUCAACUGUACCGAGCUGUGCGUCCAUGAAGAGUGACCAGUCUAUAGAUCCACCUACCGUGUCCAGAGAGAGAACCUCUUCUACUAAACUAAAGUAAGCGGGGUGUUCUUGAGCGAAAUAGGUUCCCCUAAUGUACAGACAUAGUGUCCAUCUAUAAAUGUAUCAACGAAAGAAGGCUAAUAAAAUUUGUUAGACAUACCUGUAAUGCUCCAACGAGAAACCUAUCAAAUAACUUGAAAAUCACAAUAUAUAUUGCUAGUGAAUGGAUGUUCUGAAAGUAGUUUGAUGGUUGUAGAUCAUAAGACUAAGGAGCUAUUGACAUUUUAAUCUUUUAAAAAAUGAUCAUAAAAUCUAAUGAGAUGCAAAUGGACAAACAAAAGGCUGUGCAAUGUGUAGGCCCAAUGAGUGUACAUUAUGAACCUUGUUUGAGGUGUGUGGGUCACAUGACCAAGGUGGUAUUGAAUUUCAAAUGCAACGUGUGUCUAUGCCAUCGGGUUAACUAGAACCAGUUUUGAAGGUUUCAGGAGUAACGGUUAAAGAGCUACUGAAAUGAGAAAAAUUGGAUUUAUCAUUAUGUUGAUGGUCCUUAACUGCUGUUAGUGGACGUAAGGAAAACUACAGACGAAUAUCCGUCAAAUAUCCAACCUGAAUCUGUCUUUACCUCGUUUGCCUGAGGCUGAUGCCGCGCAGGUGCUUGUACUCAUUCUUGUACACAUGCAUAUACACUCGCAUUCAAAUGCGCAUGUGCACACACACAUGUAAAUAGUGCCGCACAUGCACUGAAAUGUAUAUAGUUGGCCUAGCUGUAUUGUUUUUUGUUGUCUUUGAUGUGUUUAGUUUUUGCAUUGUUGUUUCUCUUUUUUCUCUUUUGUAAAUUUUGUCGCUCUGGACGGGAGACGGUUAGAUGAUUGAAUGUAAUGUAAAUGUUGAGCGGCUUCACUGCAUGUACAUUGUAUGUUUUAAUAUUUACAUGUGAUUUUCAUGAUUUAAAAAAAGAGAAUUUAAAAAAAAACACGUUAUAGCAAUAUGUCAGUCGAUGACGUGUCAUGCAACCAUUGGUUGAUGCAUGAGCAGGUGACUGCAACCACAGUUUUCAAUCGUGUCCUUUUAGCUUCAUAUCACGCCUUAUCCUUUGACUGUUUUUGUUUGAUAACUUUGUACCUUUUUGAGUUAGCUUUUUACCAUCAUUAUGAUCUUGGAAUCUGUUCAAAUAACCUGAAAAACAAUCAAUCCCUUAUUACCCAAACCUUGGAACUGCGUGACAAACUGUAAAUGUGUGAUAAUUGCAAUCAAGAAAUCUCAAAAGUUGCCCAGGUUCCCUGAUCUUGCUAUGGCAAACAAGCUGGUUUUACCAUACUGUAAUUGUCAUUUCUGCAGAGUGAUUGUUCUCAACUAAAACUCAUAAAGAACUACCCAAGAAGCAUUAGGCUCUGUCUGAUAUGCACUGUUAAACACCUGAGGAAGCUCCACUCUUUUCACUGGCACUGUAGCCUUGACCACGGCAUUUGUUCACUGACAUCCCCUCCAUACUUUCAUUCAUUACAUAUUUUUAUUUCACAUUCCUGAAGCUGUUCUGUCGGAUUUCUGCUACAGUCCUUGAGCACAUGGUCAAUACAGAUAAGAUAGAAAAGAUGCCCAAAACUCUGACUGAAAUGUACACAUACUUCCUGGAAUUUCAGUCCAAAUAGACAGAUGUGAAGUAUAAAGGGGAAGGUGAGACUAAUCUAUGCUGGCACUGGGGAAACUGGCCUUCGAACAGCUUGAAAAGGACAUCAGAUUUUCUACGAGGAAGACCUGACUAAGUGUGAUAUCGACA
Long non-coding RNA from Oncorhynchus tshawytscha (Chinook salmon), 2068 nucleotides. RefSeq lists it as uncharacterized. The transcript has 3 exons. Lineage: Eukaryota; Metazoa; Chordata; Actinopteri; Salmoniformes; Salmonidae. The record is from RefSeq and is a predicted model, not a curated record.